CCCUUAUUCAGGUAAACAUAAACACACACACUCCCCUUAUUCAGGUAAACAUAAACACACACACUCCCCUUAUUCAGGUAAACAUAAACACACACACUCCCCUUAUUCAGGUAAACAUAAACACACACACUCCCCUUAUUCAGGUAAACAUAAACACACACACUCCCCUUAUUCAGGUAAACAUAAACACACACACUCCCCUUAUUCAGGUAAACAUAAACACACACACUCCCCUUAUUCAGGUAAACAUAAACACACACACUCCCCUUAUUCAGGUAAACAUAAACACACACACUCCCCUUAUUCAGGUAAACAUAAACACACACACACUCCCCUUAUUCAGGUAAACAUAAACACACACACACUCCCCUUAUUCAGGUAAACAUAAACACACACACACUCC
This is a long non-coding RNA of Oncorhynchus keta (chum salmon), 403 nucleotides long. RefSeq lists it as uncharacterized. Lineage: Eukaryota; Metazoa; Chordata; Actinopteri; Salmoniformes; Salmonidae. The transcript has 4 exons. The record is from RefSeq and is a predicted model, not a curated record.